This 330-nucleotide ribosomal RNA is filed under the name uncultured beta-proteobacterium B-1. RNAcentral's name for it is "bacterial SSU rRNA". It matches the Rfam family "Bacterial small subunit ribosomal RNA", at positions 15 to 349 of the family's 1533-position model. The record is from RNAcentral. Lineage: Bacteria; Pseudomonadati; Pseudomonadota; Betaproteobacteria.
GAUCCUGGCUCAUAUUGAACGCUGGCGGCAUGCCUUACACAUGCAAGUCGAACGGUAACGCGGGGCAACCUGGCGACGAGUGGCGAACGGGUGAGUAAUAUAUCGGAACGUGCCCAGUAGUGGGGGAUAGCCCGGCGAAAGCCGGAUUAAUACCGCAUGAGACCUGAGGGUGAAAGCGGGGGAUCGCAAGACCUCGCGCUAUUGGAGCGGCCGAUAUCAGAUUAGCUAGUUGGUGGGGUAAAGGCCUACCAAGGCAACGAUCUGUAGUUGGUCUGAGAGGACGACCAGCCACACUGGGACUGAGACACGGCCCANACUCCUACGGGAGGC